RNAcentral lists this transfer RNA (53 nucleotides) under Triturus cristatus (warty newt). RNAcentral describes it as "partial tRNA-Met". RNAcentral also lists the same sequence under 4 other names. The record is from RNAcentral. Lineage: Eukaryota; Metazoa; Chordata; Amphibia; Caudata; Salamandridae.
UAAGCUUUCGGGCCCAUACCCCAAAUAUGUUGGUGAAAACCCUUCUUUUACUA